RNAcentral lists this long non-coding RNA (1041 nucleotides) under Cyanistes caeruleus (blue tit). RNAcentral describes it as "lncRNA (ENSCCEG00000016570.1)". The record is from RNAcentral. Lineage: Eukaryota; Metazoa; Chordata; Aves; Passeriformes; Paridae.
GUUGUAGAAAAUGUUGCCAUGUUAUCUCAGAGUGAUAAGGUGUAUUUUUUUCAAGAGGGCCUUUAGGACAUACUUUAAGUGUAUGUAAGUCCUUACAAAAUGCAAAUAUUUAGAAAUGUUGUCCGCCUAGCUCCAACAACAACAACAACAAAUUAUAUGUAUUGUGUUAUAAAAUUACGGGAAACAGUGAUAAAUUAGAAAAAUAAGAAGUAAUAAAUGUGGAAAAAAUACUAUGAAAUGAUUGACAUUUUAUACUCAAAAAUGCUGAAGUAAAACUGUAAAAAAUCAACUUCAUAACUUUUUACAUUCAGAAUAACUGACACAAUUCCUAGAAUUUCUUCUCUAGUAGACAAUCUUAGAUUAAAAGUUACUGAAAAACUCAUGAUGAAAAAAUUACCGGUUGCAUACUGUGUAUAAUUAGAAUAAGAAAUCUUUGGAGCAUGUCAUUAAUGUGCAGUAUGAGUGAAAAUAAAAUUCAAUCUCUAUCAUUUCAAGCUCUCAGAAAAUAUGCGUUAAUGCACUAACUCACUUGCAGAAAGAUUGGAUAAAGCUUUUUGAAGCUCUGGAACGAUUUAAACUACUAAACAAAUAGAAAUAUAUAUCUAUGAGAAUACUGAGAUAAGAAGUGAUAACAACAGUACAGUUUUUAUUUUGUAUUUCAGUUUUAUAUCUACAGUUAAUAUAUAAUUGCUAUGACCUUGGUACUACAAAUAAGAUGACCUAAUACCAGUAACAUUCUCUGUUUGGUCAAAGAGUCUGAAUAAUCUUAUUUUUUACUUCCUGUUUCACAGUAAGGGGUGGAAGCAUUUCCAGAGUAUAUUUGCUUUAUGUCUCUUACAUAGGCAUUCAAAUAGUGAUUUUAUGCAGAAUUUUGCAUAUCCAAUGUCUGAAUGGUUAUGGCUUUUCAAAUCUGAAAGGUCUAGAGAAUGCAGAGUGGUCAUGCAGACAAAUGAUAUAUCUUCUUGACAGGAAACAUAUUCAGGAGGAAUAUGAAAAUCUGUGUAUUACUGUCAAAAUAUCAACACAGUUCAAGUAAGCAAA